CUCUUAUCAAGAGAGGUGGAGGGUAUACGGCCCUGUGAAGCCCGGCAACCAGCGCAGUUAAAAACCAAUAUGCGCAUGGUGCCAAUUCCGGCGCUGCCAGCAAUGGCGGUGCAAGAUGAGGG
This 122-nucleotide non-coding RNA is filed under the name Chloroflexota bacterium. Its description in RNAcentral is "Chloroflexi bacterium SAM-I sequence". It matches the Rfam family "SAM riboswitch aptamer (S box leader)". From Rfam's summary of the family: The SAM riboswitch is found upstream of a number of genes which code for proteins involved in methionine or cysteine biosynthesis in Gram-positive bacteria. The SAM riboswitch acts at the level of transcription termination control. The predicted structure consists of a complex stem-loop region followed by a single stem loop terminator region. The record is from RNAcentral. Lineage: Bacteria; Bacillati; Chloroflexota.